This 797-nucleotide ribosomal RNA is filed under the name uncultured bacterium. Its description in RNAcentral is "bacterial SSU rRNA". It matches the Rfam family "Bacterial small subunit ribosomal RNA", at positions 8 to 796 of the family's 1533-position model. The record is from RNAcentral.
AGAGUUUGAUCAUGGCUCAGAUUGAACGCUGGCGGCAUGCUUUACACAUGCAAGUCGAACGGUAACGCGGGGGCAACCCUGGCGACGAGUGGCGAACGGGUGAGUAAUACAUCGGAACAUGUCCUGGAGUGGGGGAUAGCUCGGCGAAAGCCGGAUUAAUACCGCAUACGCUCUGAGGAGGAAAGCGGGGGACCUGGUAACGGGCCUCGCGCUGCGGGAGUGGCCGAUGUCGGAUUAGCUAGUUGGUGAGGUAAAGGCUCACCAAGGCGACGAUCCGUAGCUGGUCUGAGAGGAUGAUCAGCCACACUGGGACUGAGACACGGCCCAGACUCCUACGGGAGGCAGCAGUGGGGAAUUUUGGACAAUGGGGGCAACCCUGAUCCAGCCAUGCCGCGUGAGUGAAGAAGGCCUUCGGGUUGUAAAGCUCUUUCGGACGGAACGAAAUGGUUACGGAUAAUACCUGUGACUGAUGACGGUACUGUAAGAAGAAGCACCGGCUAACUACGUGCCAGCAGCCGCGGUAAUACGUAGGGUGCGAGCGUUAAUCGGAAUUACUGGGCGUAAAGCGUGCGCAGGCGGUUCGCCAAGUCAGGUGUGAAAUCCCCGGGCUUAACCUGGGAAUUGCGCUUGAAACUAGCGGGCUUGAGUGUGGCAGAGGGGGGUGGAAUUCCACGUGUAGCAGUGAAAUGCGUAGAGAUGUGGAGGAACACCGAUGGCGAAGGCAGCCCCCUGGGUCAACACUGACGCUCAUGCACGAAAGCGUGGGGAGCAAACAGGAUUAGAUACCCUAGUAGUCC